Molecule: transfer RNA, 94 nt
Filed under: Epichloe festucae Fl1
Lineage: Eukaryota; Fungi; Ascomycota; Sordariomycetes; Hypocreales; Clavicipitaceae
Description: tRNA-Pro
Source: RNAcentral
GGCCAAAUGGUCUAGUGGUAUGAUUCUUGCUUUGGGGAAGGAUUGACUCCAUCUCGGCUGCAAGAGGUCCCGUGUUCAAUCCACGGUUUGGCCC